RNAcentral lists this ribosomal RNA (374 nucleotides) under uncultured organism. RNAcentral describes it as "partial 16S ribosomal RNA". It matches the Rfam family "Bacterial small subunit ribosomal RNA", at positions 526 to 896 of the family's 1533-position model. The record is from RNAcentral.
UGAGGGGUGCGAGCGUUAAUCGGAAUUACUGGGCGUAAAGCGAGUGUAGGCGGGCUACGUAAGUCGGAUGUGAAAGCCCCGGGGCUCAACCUGGGAAUUGCAUUCGAUACUGCGUGGCUAGAGUUUGAUAGAGGUAAGUGGAAUUCCGGGUGUAGCGGUGAAAUGCGUAGAUAUCUGGAGGAACAUCAGUGGCGAAGGCGGCUUACUGGAUCAAAACUGACGCUGAGGCUCGAAAGCGUGGGGAGCAAACAGGAUUAGAUACCCUGGUAGUCCACGCCCUAAACGAUGUCAACUAGACGUUGGGUUCAUUAAAGAACUUAGUGUCGAAGCUAACGCGUUAAGUUGACCGCCUGGGGAGUACGGCCGCAAGGUUG